UCCCUGGUAGUCUAUUGGCUAAGACUCUACGCUCCCCAUGCAGAGUGCCCAGGUUCAAUCCCUGGUCAGAGAA
This 73-nucleotide transfer RNA is filed under the name Ovis aries (sheep). It matches the Rfam family "tRNA". Rfam says of the family: Transfer RNA (tRNA) molecules are approximately 80 nucleotides in length. The record is from Rfam by way of RNAcentral. Lineage: Eukaryota; Metazoa; Chordata; Mammalia; Artiodactyla; Bovidae.